RNAcentral lists this ribosomal RNA (465 nucleotides) under uncultured bacterium. RNAcentral describes it as "partial 16S ribosomal RNA". It matches the Rfam family "Bacterial small subunit ribosomal RNA", at positions 338 to 795 of the family's 1533-position model. The record is from RNAcentral.
CCUACGGGAGGCAGCAGUGGGGAAUUUUGCGCAAUGCUCGUAAGAGUGACGCAGCGACGCCGCGUGAAUGACGAAGGCCUUCGGGUCGUAAAGUUCUUUCGACAGGGAAGAAAAUGCCUAUAAGUAACUGUGUAUGUAUUGACGGUACCUGUAUAAGCAGACCCGGCUAACUCCGUGCCAGCAGCCGCGGUAAUACGGAGGGGGCGAGCGUUGUUCGGAGGGACUGGGCGUAAAGAGCACGUAGGCGGUGUUGUAAGUAAUUAGUCAAAGACUAGAGCUCAACUUUAGUAAGGCUAGUGAUACUAUAAUACUAGAGUAUCAGAGAGGAUUGCAGAAUUCCUGGUGUAGCGGUGAAAUGCGUAGAUAUCAGGAGGAAUACCGUUAGCGAAGGCGGCAAUCUGGCUGGAAACUGACGCUGAGGUGCGAAAGCGUGGGUAGCAAACAGGAUUAGAUACCCUAGUAGUC